AGGGAAAUAGCGCAGUGGUAGAGCGCAUGCUUAGCAUGCAUGAGGUCCUGAGUUCAAUCCCCAGUACCUCCA
Molecule: transfer RNA, 72 nt
Filed under: Camelus bactrianus (Bactrian camel)
Lineage: Eukaryota; Metazoa; Chordata; Mammalia; Artiodactyla; Camelidae
Also listed under: 2 other names
Rfam family: tRNA
About the family: Transfer RNA (tRNA) molecules are approximately 80 nucleotides in length. Their secondary structure includes four short double-helical elements and three loops (D, anti-codon, and T loops).
Source: Rfam by way of RNAcentral